This 429-nucleotide ribosomal RNA is filed under the name Gemmatimonadota bacterium. RNAcentral's name for it is "Gemmatimonadetes bacterium partial 16S ribosomal RNA". It matches the Rfam family "Bacterial small subunit ribosomal RNA", at positions 355 to 776 of the family's 1533-position model. Lineage: Bacteria; Pseudomonadati; Gemmatimonadota. The record is from RNAcentral.
UAGGGAAUCUUCGGCCAUGGACGAAAGUCUGACCGAGCAACGCCGCGUGAGUGAAGAAGGUUUUCGGAUCGUAAAACUCUGUUGUUAGAGAAGAACAAGGACGUUAGUAACUGAACGUCCCCUGACGGUAUCUAACCAGAAAGCCACGGCUAACUACGUGCCAGCAGCCGCGGUAAUACGUAGGUGGCAAGCGUUGUCCGGAUUUAUUGGGCGUAAAGCGAGCGCAGGCGGUUUCUUAAGUCUGAUGUGAAAGCCCCCGGCUCAACCGGGGAGGGUGAUUGGAAACUGGGAGACUUGAGUGCAGAAGAGGAGAGUGGAAUUCCAGGUGUAGCGGUGAAAUGCGUAGAUAUAUGGAGGAACACCAGUGGCGAAGGCGGCUCUCUGGUCUGUAACUGACGCUGAGGCUCGAAAGCGUGGGGAGCAAACAGG